CCUUAGUUGCCAGCAUUCAGUUGGGCACUCUAAGGUGACUGCCGGCUAAAAAGUCGGAGGAAGGUGGGGAUGACGUCAAAUCAUCAUGCCCCUUAUGACCUGGGCUACACACGUGCUACAAUGGGCGGUACAAAGGGUCGCGAACCCGCGAGGGGGAGCCAAUCCCAAAAAAGCCGCUCUCAGUUCGGAUUGCAGGCUGCAACUCGCCUGCAUGAAGCCGGAAUCGCUAGUAAUCGCGGAUCAGCAUGCCGCGGUGAAUACGUUCCCGGGCCUU
This 274-nucleotide ribosomal RNA is filed under the name uncultured Paenibacillus sp. RNAcentral describes it as "partial 16S ribosomal RNA". It matches the Rfam family "Bacterial small subunit ribosomal RNA", at positions 1109 to 1382 of the family's 1533-position model. Lineage: Bacteria; Bacillati; Bacillota; Bacilli; Caryophanales; Paenibacillaceae. The record is from RNAcentral.